This 190-nucleotide ribosomal RNA is filed under the name uncultured Pantoea sp. RNAcentral's name for it is "partial 16S ribosomal RNA". It matches the Rfam family "Bacterial small subunit ribosomal RNA", at positions 338 to 520 of the family's 1533-position model. Lineage: Bacteria; Pseudomonadati; Pseudomonadota; Gammaproteobacteria; Enterobacterales; Erwiniaceae. The record is from RNAcentral.
CCUACGGGAGGCAGCAGUGGGGAAUAUUGCACAAUGGGCGCAAGCCUGAUGCAGCCAUGCCGCGUGUAUGAAGAAGGCCUUCGGGUUGUAAAGUACUUUCAGCGGGGAGGAAGGCGAUGCGGUUAAUAACCGCGUCGAUUGACGUUACCCGCAGAAGAAGCACCGGCUAACUCCGUGCCAGCAGCCGCGG